This 38-nucleotide ribosomal RNA is filed under the name Salvator merianae (Argentine black and white tegu). Lineage: Eukaryota; Metazoa; Chordata; Lepidosauria; Squamata; Teiidae. The record is from RNAcentral.
UGGUUAGUACUUGGAUGGGGGACCACAUGGAAAUACUA